UCCCUGGUAGCUCAGCUGGGAGAGAAUCUGCCUGCAGUGCAGGAGACCCAGGUUCAAUCCCUGAGUAGGGAA
Molecule: transfer RNA, 72 nt
Filed under: Ovis aries (sheep)
Lineage: Eukaryota; Metazoa; Chordata; Mammalia; Artiodactyla; Bovidae
Rfam family: tRNA
About the family: Transfer RNA (tRNA) molecules are approximately 80 nucleotides in length. Their secondary structure includes four short double-helical elements and three loops (D, anti-codon, and T loops). Further hydrogen bonds mediate the characteristic L-shaped molecular structure. tRNAs have two regions of fundamental functional importance: the anti-codon, which is responsible for specific mRNA codon recognition, and the 3' end, to which the tRNAs corresponding amino acid is attached (by aminoacyl-tRNA synthetases). tRNAs cope with the degeneracy of the genetic code in two manners: having more than one tRNA (with a specific anti-codon) for a particular amino acid; and 'wobble' base-pairing, i.e. permitting non-standard base-pairing at the 3rd anti-codon position.
Source: Rfam by way of RNAcentral